This 460-nucleotide ribosomal RNA is filed under the name uncultured bacterium. RNAcentral's name for it is "partial 16S ribosomal RNA". It matches the Rfam family "Bacterial small subunit ribosomal RNA", at positions 338 to 795 of the family's 1533-position model. The record is from RNAcentral.
CCUACGGGUGGCAGCAGUGAGGAAUAUUGGUCAAUGGGCGGAAGCCUGAACCAGCCAAGUAGCGUGCGGGAUGAAGGCACUACGGGUCGUAAACCGCUUUUGCCCGGGGAUAACACCCUCCACUUGUGGCGGUCUGCAGGUACCGUGCGAAUAAGCGCCGGCUAAUUCCGUGCCAGCAGCCGCGGUAAUACGGAGGAUUCGAGCGUUAUCCGGAUUUAUUGGGUUUAAAGGGUGCGUAGGCUGUCGGAUAAGUUAGCGGGUAAAUGUCGGGGCUUAACCCCGUGCCUGCCUCUGAAACUGUCCGACUAGAGAUCGAAUGCAGCAGGCGGAAUGAGUAGUGUAGCGGUGAAAUGCAUAGAUAUUACGCAGAACACCGAUUGCGCAGGCAGCUUGCUAAUCCGCAUCUGACGCUGAUGCACGAAAGCGUGGGUAGCGAACAGGAUUAGAUACCCUUGUAGUC